This 253-nucleotide ribosomal RNA is filed under the name uncultured bacterium. RNAcentral describes it as "partial 16S ribosomal RNA". It matches the Rfam family "Bacterial small subunit ribosomal RNA", at positions 524 to 776 of the family's 1533-position model. The record is from RNAcentral.
UACGAAGGGGGCUAGCGUUGCUCGGAAUCACUGGGCGUAAAGGGUGCGUAGGCGGGGCUUUAAGUCAGGGGGGAAAUCCUGGAGCUCAACUCCAGAACUGCCUUUGAUACUGAGGAUCUUGAGUUCGGGAGAGGUGAGUGGAACUGCGAGUGUAGAGGUGAAAUUCGUAGAUAUUCGCAAGAACACCAGUGGCGAAGGCGGCUCACUGGCCCGGUACUGACGCUGAGGUGCGAAAGCGUGGGGAGCAAACAGG